UGGGGAAUUUUGGACAAUGGGCGAAAGCCUGAUCCAGCAAUGCCGCGUGUGUGAAGAAGGCCUUCGGGUUGUAAAGCACUUUUGUCCGGAAAGAAAUCCUUGGCUCUAAUACAGUCGGGGGAUGACGGUACCGGAAGAAUAAGCACCGGCUAACUACGUGCCAGCAGCCGCGGUAAUACGUAGGGUGCAAGCGUUAAUCGGAAUUACUGGGCGUAAAGCGUGCGCAGGCGGUUUGCUAAGACCGAUGUGAAAUCCCCGGGCUCAACCUGGGAACUGCAUUGGUGACUGGCAGGCUAGAGUAUGGCAGAGGGGGGUAGAAUUCCACGUGUAGCAGUGAAAUGCGUAGAGAUGUGGAGGAAUACCGAUGGCGAAGGCAGCCCCCUGGGCCAAUACUGACGCUCAUGCACGAAAGCGUGGGGAGCAAACAGGAUUAGAUACCCUGGUAGUCCACGCCCUAAACGAUGUCAACUAGUUGUUGGGGAUUCAUUUCCUCAGUAACGUAGCUAACGCGUGAAGUUGACCGCCUGGGGAGUACGGUCGCAAGAUU
This 547-nucleotide ribosomal RNA is filed under the name uncultured bacterium. Its description in RNAcentral is "partial 16S ribosomal RNA". It matches the Rfam family "Bacterial small subunit ribosomal RNA", at positions 355 to 895 of the family's 1533-position model. The record is from RNAcentral.